UUUCUGAAAGAGUCCUGAUGAAUAUAACUAUCCCACGCUCUUUUUAAUUUUUGUUUUACUGUAGGCCCCAGGAUACUUUAGCUGUAGGAGAAUUUGGUUUUGUACAAAUAAAAACCAAGAAGUUCAUUUAAAUGAAAAAUGAGAUAAAGAUGGGGAAUGGGUACAAAUAGGCAUAUGCCCUGAGGGUAAGUGUUCACGGACAAGGGAAGUUACAAUAUUUCUUCUCAAAAUAUUUGUUUAAAUAUGGUCAGAAAUUUUCAAGGAGGAGAUGCUAGGAAAGAUGUUGCCCUGCCUAAAUGCAAGAGAGGCCUGAGGAUUUCUGGACCUAAUCGCUACUGUUUUAUGCCAAGUUUGAAGAUUCAUCAUACUUUAGGCUUUAUAAAAUAUUUCUCCUCUGGGUGCUUUGGUUGCAUAAAUUUUCUAUAUUUGGUAGGCAUGUUUUUCCAGUGGGACCUUUCUCCAUUGUGUACAUCUCUCCCCCACCCCCAGGGACAUAUAAGAAAAAAAUUCAGCUUGUUUUUCUAUCUAAACAGAGGUUGGUGCUAAGCACAAAAAUCUAGCUAUGAGUAAAUUAUGCUCUGAUCUUGAAGGAUAAAAUAAACACAAAGUGAUGCAGAGCUGGGUUUUGCCAGAGCCAAAUGGAACAUGACGUCCAGAAGUUUCCAAUUGAGUUCCAAAAUUAGAAUAAAUCUUGGCAAAAUGCAUACUCAUGUCCCAUCAGGAAUUUUAUCACUUGAACUCAGUGCUGGCUACUCCAUGUCUUACUCAUUCCAGUAGCUCCCAGGAGGCCUGAGGACCUGACUCUAUGUGUUCCUGGAGCUGCCCUGGGCCUGCCGGUUUUAACUUUGCCUCAGUUAGGAUGGAAGUAGGGCAUCAAAAACCCAAUCAGUGAUGUAAGCCUUGAACACCCACUUUCAGCCCCAUUUCUUCUAGGAAGUCCAGCUGCUGCAGCUGAAUGUAUCACUGAGUAGUCAUCCUUCUUGGUUUCGCAGUGUUGCCCUCUCAGAAGCUCCUGGUGGCUCUCUGCUCUGCUGAACAUCAGCUGGACUGACAAGUGGGUCUCGGCGUUUACAUUGGCUCUGACGAGACUGCCUUUAGAACACUGCCCUCCAUGAUCUGCAGUGAAACCUGGGCAAAAGGCCCUGGCCCUAUGCCUGCCCACAGUCUAGGAAGUGGAUUCAGUGGGGCCUACAGAACCUGCCAGAUUCUACUUAUUGCUGUGACUGCCAGCCUCCAAGACAGCAUCCAACAAUCCUGGGCUCUUGGCGUGCUCAGCCUUGUGUCGUCCCCUCCCACAUGGUCCCGAGAAUUGGGCUAUGUGACCAAUAAAAUAUUAAAGAAAUGAUGACAUAUAACUUCUGAAAUGAGGUUAUAAAAGACACUGUGGCUUCCUUGGUGGGCACAUGGCACGUGUUCACUCUCUCAGAUCACUGGCUUCAAAGGAAACCUGUUGCCAUGUUGAGCAGCCCUAGGAGAGGCCCCCGUGGUAAAGAAUGGAGCCAGGCCGUCUCCAAAUAGCCAAGCUAGUGAGACCUCUUGGAAGCAGAGAGUCUUCAGAUUAUCACACUCCAAAUCGACUGCCUGGCCGUGGCCUCAUGAGACCCUGAGCUGGAGUCUCUCUACUAGUCUGCUCCCAGGUUCCUGACCCUCUGAAAUUUUGUGGGACAGUAACAUGUUUAUCUAAUGAAAACUUUAAAAAUAUAUUUAUUUGGUAAAUAUCUGUAUCAUAAGCUGCUGCUAAAUUAUGGGAGAGUUUAUUAUGCAGCAAUAGACAACUAACACAGUGACUGUGGGUUUGCUGAGAUUCUGUGCCACAAAACUUCUCCUUAUGAGAUCAGGAGGAAUGAGCAGCCCUUGGGACAUCUGUUCUUGUGGCAGAGAAGAAAAGCCAGAGGGGAGUGGAAACUCACAAGGGCAUCGAACCAUCUGCUUAGAACUGGCACAGGAGACUGCUGCUCACCUUUCAUUGGUCAAAGCAGGACAUGGUUGAGUCUGUUUAUGGGGCAGAUAGGUAUAUUCUUUCCGCAGGAAGGUACUGUAGGAGUCCUCAAAGGGUUAAGAACCUGACAUAGUCUCACGAGGAUGCAGGUUCGAUCCCUAACCUCACUCAGUGGAUU
This is a long non-coding RNA of Sus scrofa (pig), 2117 nucleotides long. RefSeq lists it as uncharacterized. Lineage: Eukaryota; Metazoa; Chordata; Mammalia; Artiodactyla; Suidae. The record is from RefSeq and is a predicted model, not a curated record.